Transfer RNA from Ovis aries (sheep), 72 nucleotides. It matches the Rfam family "tRNA". From Rfam's summary of the family: Transfer RNA (tRNA) molecules are approximately 80 nucleotides in length. Their secondary structure includes four short double-helical elements and three loops (D, anti-codon, and T loops). NCBI's taxonomy places the organism in Eukaryota, Metazoa, Chordata, Mammalia, Artiodactyla, Bovidae. The record is from Rfam.
UCCCUGAUAGCUCAGUUGGUAAAGAAUCUGCCUGCAGUGCAGGAGACCCUGGUUCGAUUCCUGGGUUGGGAA